Molecule: ribosomal RNA, 253 nt
Filed under: uncultured bacterium
Lineage: Bacteria
Description: partial 16S ribosomal RNA
Rfam family: Bacterial small subunit ribosomal RNA
Source: RNAcentral
AACGUAGGGGGCAAGCGUUGUCCGGAAUCAUUGGGCGUAAAGCGCGUGUAGGCGGCUCGGUAAGUCCGCUCUGAAAGCCCGGGGCUCAACCCCGGGAGGCGGGUGGAUACUGCUGAGCUCGAGUCCGGAAGAGGAGUGUGGAAUUCCUGGUGUAGCGGUGAAAUGCGCAGAUAUCAGGAGGAACACCAAUGGCGAAGGCAGCACUCUGGGACGGUACUGACGCUGAGGUGCGAAAGCGUGGGGAGCAAACAGG